Molecule: ribosomal RNA, 370 nt
Filed under: uncultured prokaryote
Description: bacterial SSU rRNA
Rfam family: Bacterial small subunit ribosomal RNA
Source: RNAcentral
UACGGAGGGUGCAAGCGUUAUCCGGAUUCACUGGGUUUAAAGGGUGCGUAGGUGGGCAAGUAAGUCAGUGGUGAAAUCUCCGGGCUUAACCCGGAAACUGCCAUUGAUACUAUUUGUCUUGAAUACUGUGGAGGUCAGCGGAAUAUGUCAUGUAGCGGUGAAAUGCUUAGAUAUGACAUAGAACACCAAUUGCGAAGGCAGCUGGCUACACAAAUAUUGACACUGAGGCACGAAAGCGUGGGGAUCAAACAGGAUUAGAUACCCUGGUAGUCCACGCCCUAAACUAUGGAUACUCGACAUUUGCGAUAAACUGCAAGUGUCUGAGCGAAAGCAUUAAGUAUCCCACCUGGGAAGUACGAUCGCAAGAUUG